RNAcentral lists this small RNA (28 nucleotides) under Bombyx mori (domestic silkworm). RNAcentral describes it as "ovarian small RNA-4985". The record is from RNAcentral. Lineage: Eukaryota; Metazoa; Arthropoda; Insecta; Lepidoptera; Bombycidae.
CUUCGGUACUCCAUGUAUUACUACGCGG